Molecule: ribosomal RNA, 465 nt
Filed under: uncultured bacterium
Lineage: Bacteria
Description: partial 16S ribosomal RNA
Rfam family: Bacterial small subunit ribosomal RNA
Source: RNAcentral
CCUACGGGAGGCAGCAGUGGGGAAUAUUGCGCAAUGGGCGAAAGCCUGACGCAGCGACGCCGCGUGAGGGAUGAAGGUCUUCGGAUCGUAAACCUCUGUCAGCAGGGAAGAACGGUCACUGUGCUAAUCAGCAGUGAAUUGACGGUACCUGCAAAGGAAGCACCGACUAACUCCGUGCCAGCAGCCGCGGUAAUACGGAGGGUGCGAGCGUUAAUCGGAAUUACUGGGCGUAAAGCGCUCGUAGGCGGUAUGUCAAGUCAAGGGUGAAAUCCCCGCGCUGAACGUGGGAACUGCCUUUGAAACUGGUAAACUGGAGUGUGUGAGAGGAUAGUGGAAUUCCAGGUGUAGGAGUGAAAUGCGUAGAUAUCGGGAGGAACAUCAGUGGCGAAGGCGACUAUCUGGCACAUAACUGACGCUGAGGAGCGAAAGCGUGGGUAGCAAACAGGAUUAGAUACCCUUGUAGUC